AAUCAAUAUAUAAUACGAUUAAGGAUUCCUGCGCUCUCCUUAAUUCGGGGUCCUACGUGGCAUAUCUAAGAAUUCACCAUUCAAAAUCCCUGCAAUUCUAGAGCUUCUAGCUUUAAAAUUUAAAUCCUAUGUGGCAAAAUAAUUCCACAUGUGAUAAUUUAUUUUUAAAACCUAAUAUUUCAUUUUCAUUUUUCAUUUAAUAUCUUUAAUUCCUCCAUCUCCAUUCAAUCCAAAAUCCGAAGAAAAAAAACACCAUAAAUCUGCAAAUCUCACCCUCACCGCCACCGCCGUCUUCGCCGCGCCGGCCACCACCUUCGCCGCCGCCAUCUGCCAUCUGCCCUCUAUUUCCCUCCCUCCCAAUAUGGUUUAUAUAUUUGAUAUCCUUAAUUCCUCCACCUCCUUAAUUCUUCAACUUCCAUUCGAUCCCAAAUCUGAAAAACCCCUACCACCAGAAAUCUGCAACUAUCACUGACACCGCCGCCUUCUUCGCGGCCCCACCGCCUUCGCCGUCGCCGCCAUCUGCCCUCCAUCCCCCUUCCCUCCCUGCGAUUCCGCGAUCUGCCACUUCCUUUCGAAUAAAUCCCAAAACCAUGACCAGUCGCCCCACCACCAGAAAUCUGCAACUCUCACCGCUGCGCCGGCCACCGCCUUCGCCAUCGCCGCCGCGAUCUGCCGUGAUUCUUGCUACACAGCCAUGGUGAAUGGGUUUCAUGUUCGGUUGGUGCUAAUUUUACGCCUCAUAUCAUCACGGUCAAUGCUUGAGAGGUAAAAGGCGAUAAAAAACUCCUAUUUAGUAAAUUAAUUCUUUGUCAUCCUGUUUCCUUUUCCAUUUUGUGUUAAUAAUCUCUCAUUUAAUUUCUAGAGUAGAUGUGAUUGGAUGCCUUUGAAGUAUUCAAUUAUGUGCGCGAGCAUUGUCAAAAUAUAUUCUGCUGUCUGCUUGUGAUUGCAAAUAUUGGAUUUGCUAGAUUUCCAUAUCUGGUAUUUGUGGUGUAUGAACGGAGCUUUGCCGUUUUAGUGGUGCCAAGAUCUAACUUGGAAGGGACGGGUCCGCUGUCAUCAUUGCCAGCAAUUGCAUUUUCAUUCUCUGUUUGUCAUUUGUGAAAUGAAUGUGUUGGUGUUGUAGGUUUUUCUGUUUGUUAAUUAACUCAAUGCAAGAAGUACUUCCACAAUCGCCUCGGGCCUGCUAAGCUUACAUGGACUACUAUGUACCGUGAACAACAUAAGAAGGAUGUCGAUGUCGAGAAACAGCAAUGCCCCUACCUCUCAAGCCUCGGCGAGUAUCUGACGGAUAGUGGGUGAUGGGUAUCCAACGGGUAGCGGGUGGUGAAUAUCCGACGGGUGACGGGUAUCCGUGGGUUGCGGGUAUGGGUGGCAAAUAGUAGUGGGUGGCAAAUAAUUUUUUCGAAUAUAUGUUUCGCUAAGUCAUGUUAAGGAUGAAAGUCCUCUUUAAUUUAUUUUUUUCAUUUUAGUUUAAUGUGUAACGUUGACCUAUAUAAUAUUAACAGUUUUUCCA
RNA transcript from Salvia miltiorrhiza (redroot sage), 1513 nucleotides. RefSeq lists it as uncharacterized. The transcript has 3 exons. Lineage: Eukaryota; Viridiplantae; Streptophyta; Magnoliopsida; Lamiales; Lamiaceae. The record is from RefSeq and is a predicted model, not a curated record.